CCUACGGGUUGCAGCAGUAGGGAAUCUUCGGCAAUGGACGAAAGUCUGACCGAGCAACGCCGCGUGAGUGAAGAAGGUUUUCGGAUCGUAAAACUCUGUUGUUAGAGAAGAACAAGUAGGAGAGUAACUGCUCUUACCUUGACGGAAUCUAACCAGAAAGCCACGGCUAACUACGUGCCAGCAGCCGCGGUAAUACGUAGGUGGCAAGCGUUGUCCGGGUUUAUUGGGCGUAAAGCGAGCGCAGGCGGUCUUUUAAGUCUGAUGUGAAAGCCCUCGGCUCAACCGAGGAAGGUCAUUGGAAACUGGAGGACUUGAGUGCAGAAGAGGAGAGUGGAAUUCCAUGUGUAGCGGUGAAAUGCGUAGAUAUAUGGAGGAACACCAGUGGCGAAGGCGACUCUCUGGUCUGUAACUGACGCUGAGGCUCGAAAGCGUGGGGAGCAAGCAGGAUUAGAUACC
RNAcentral lists this ribosomal RNA (456 nucleotides) under uncultured bacterium. RNAcentral's name for it is "bacterial SSU rRNA". It matches the Rfam family "Bacterial small subunit ribosomal RNA", at positions 338 to 786 of the family's 1533-position model. The record is from RNAcentral.